AUAAACAUAGUAUAAAUUAAUACAUUUCAUUUACACUGAAAAUAUACUUAGCUAAAUAAGUUGUUUUUA
RNAcentral lists this transfer RNA (69 nucleotides) under Amoria hunteri. RNAcentral's name for it is "tRNA-Val". The record is from RNAcentral. Lineage: Eukaryota; Metazoa; Mollusca; Gastropoda; Neogastropoda; Volutidae.